Molecule: non-coding RNA, 21 nt
Organism: Caenorhabditis elegans
Lineage: Eukaryota; Metazoa; Nematoda; Chromadorea; Rhabditida; Rhabditidae
Source: Ensembl
UACAUGCUCUUCUCAUUAAAC